RNAcentral lists this ribosomal RNA (739 nucleotides) under uncultured bacterium. RNAcentral describes it as "bacterial SSU rRNA". It matches the Rfam family "Bacterial small subunit ribosomal RNA", at positions 28 to 774 of the family's 1533-position model. The record is from RNAcentral.
GAUGAACGCUAGCUACAGGCUUAACACAUGCAAGUCGAGGGGCAUCAGGUACUGUGCUUGCACAGUAUGCUGGCGACCGGCGCACGGGUGAGUAACGCGUAUCCAACCUUCCCAUGACUCCGGUUCAGCCCGCCGAAAGGCGGAUUACUCCCGGAUGGUUUCCGAAGAGGGCCUCUGAUUUGGAAUAAAGAUUUAUCGGUCAUGGAUGGGGAUGCGUCUGAUUAGGCAGCAGGCGGGGUAACGGCCCACCUGGCCCACGAUCAGUAGGGGUUCUGAGAGGAAGGUCCCCCACACUGGAACUGAGACACGGUCCAGACUCCUACGGGAGGCAGCAGUGGGGAAUAUUGGGCAAUGGGCGAAAGCCUGACCCAGCAACGCCGCGUGAAGGAAGAAGGUCUUCGGAUUGUAACUUCUUUUAUGAGGGACGAAGGACGUGACGGUACCUCAUGAAUAAGCCACGGCUAACUACGUGCCAGCAGCCGCGGUAAUACGUAGGUGGCGAGCGUUAUCCGGAUUCAUUGGGUUUAAAGGGUGCGCAGGCGGCCUGCCAAGUCAGCGGUGAAAGCCCGGGGCCCAACCCCGGAAGUGCCGUUGAUACUGGUGGGCUGGAAUGCGGUCGAGGCGGGCGGAACGUGGCGUGUAGCGGUGAAAUGCGUAGAUAUGCCACAGAACGCCGAUAGCGGAGGCAGCUCGCCAGGCCUGCAUUGACGCUCGGGCACGAAAGCGUGGGGAUCGAACA